This 347-nucleotide unclassified non-coding RNA is filed under the name uncultured fungus. RNAcentral describes it as "partial contains small subunit ribosomal RNA, internal transcribed spacer 1, and 5.8S ribosomal RNA". The stretch from base 1 to 73 matches the Rfam family "Eukaryotic small subunit ribosomal RNA", at positions 1759 to 1831 of the family's 1831-position model. Lineage: Eukaryota; Fungi. The record is from RNAcentral.
GCAAACUUGGUCAUUUAGAGGAAGUAAAAGUCGUAACAAGGUUUCCGUAGGUGAACCUGCGGAAGGAUCAUUAAUGAAAGUUAAAACGUUGCAUUGGGUUGUUGCUGGCCCCCCUUAUUGGGGGGCAUAUGUGCACACUUGUGUUGCGUCUUUCUUCUAUCUCACCCCUUUUAUGUGAACCUUUCGGGAGCUAGUAGGGGCAAUGUAUUAUUGAUUGCCUUGAAAGUUCUCAUAUCAUAUACACCUUUUGUAAAGUCUAUUGUAUGUCAUUUUUUUUGCAUUAAUUUGCAUGAAAUACAACUUUCAGCAACGGAUCUCUUGGCUCUCGCAUCGAUGAAGAACGCAGC